GCGGUGUCUGUGUCCCAGAGAGAAAUGGUUCCGUGUCUUCGUGCAUAAGCAAGAGACCAGGGACCUCCACUGUGGCUGCCUCAGGAGCGGCUGCCUCUAAAUUCUGAAAUACGACUGAAUUAAUUCCCUGUUAUGGGCCCUUAAGGGGUAGGGCUAGCAUGAUCAUGCACCCAGUGCUCAUCUGUUCUAACUCCCGCCCGGUGCCAAACAUCCUGCCGUGUGUUAUGCAAGUAUUGUGCUAGUGAUAGGUGCCCCAAUGGAUGUCUUGGUUUCUGGUUUAUAGGAUGGUCAGAUGGAAAGAAAAGGAAGCUGUAAGAAUCAAGGGCCUACAUUUCUAUUACUUGGGAAGCCACCCUGCCGACCGGCAUACCAGGAGCACACUCUGGCCUCCCACGGAUGCCCCAAGGCUCCAUGCAUACCCUCCCCUUUGCUUGACUUAGUUUUCCAUACAUUUGGUAAUCUUUAAUCAGACAGGAUUUGAGCAGAAUUUGGAGAUUAAGCAAUGUUGUGGCAGCCAGGACUUUAUCCCAUUCAAGCCAGUACAUACUUGCCAGGAAACAGAAAUGGAUUAGUCUGUAGAUGUUACAACUCCCACGUCACCCCAGCAGCCCAGCCCUCCCCUACUACCCCAGGGGUAGUGCUGGGCUCCAGUCUCAGCUGGGUGGUCCUGAUGAGCUUGAGAAGCUUAGAAACUAGAUUCUGGACAAAUUGGAGACUCAAAGCGAGCCAGUGCUCAGGGACUGAGCCUCCGGACGAGAAAUGGGGGAAAUGGUUCCCUCCAGAUUCUGGACCGGGCAAGGAAAGGAGUCUGCGGAGGCCUGCUACGAAAGCUGCACACACACCCCCUGACUCGGAGGCAGGUACUGUUACCUGCCCUUUAGGGACCAGGAGACAGGUUCUGGGGUAAGCCCCACCUACUCGGGUUGCAGACUGUCCCGAGUCUCGAGACACUCCACCUGCCUUGCCAUCUGAGCGUUGGUGUCUUGUCCACAAACUGACACUGUUUGGGAUUUGUUCUUUCUAAACUUUUUCUUUUUUAAUCAUUAAUACCAUACUUCUUUACCUUAAUAUUUGCAGAAGCCCAUUAUAAAAACACAUAAAUAUAACAUGAUCUGGUUGGGUUGAGAAGGGGGCCUUGCCUCCGACCUCUUGACCCUCACCCCUUGCCCAACCUAGGCCCUGCAGAGGUCUGAGCUCCAUAACUGGAGACUGGAGAUCCACCAGUCUUUGUCCUUCCUACUGGUCCUGCAAGUCUAAGUAUGGCUGAGGUGUGGCCUAAGGGCACUUGCAGAAGAAUCCCCUGGAAGUCUAUUACAAAGACCUCUGUCUGGGCUCCUCACUUUACCUUCAAAUCAGAUCGGGUGUGGGGGCAGUGAUGGGGUGCAGAAAUCUGGGUUUUUAACUAGAUCCUGUGUCCAAUUUUAGGCAAACCACACUUCAAGAACUCAUUUCUGACCUCCAGGAUGUGUUUUAUAAAAGUAGAGAAGAAACAUAUCCCUUGCUGGAGCUCAGGGCAC
RNAcentral lists this long non-coding RNA (1517 nucleotides) under Canis lupus familiaris (dog). RNAcentral's name for it is "lncRNA (ENSCAFG00000053280.1, ENSCAFG00805023343.1, ENSCAFG00845027099.1)". The record is from RNAcentral. Lineage: Eukaryota; Metazoa; Chordata; Mammalia; Carnivora; Canidae.